Molecule: ribosomal RNA, 346 nt
Filed under: uncultured bacterium
Lineage: Bacteria
Description: bacterial SSU rRNA
Rfam family: Bacterial small subunit ribosomal RNA
Source: RNAcentral
AGGGUUCGAUUAUGGCUCAGGAUGAACGCUGGCGGCGUGCUUAACACAUUCAAGUCGAACGAAGCAUUUUUGGGAAGUCCUUCGGGGCGGAAGAGAAAUGACUGAGUGGCGGACGGGUGAGUAACGCGUGAGCAAUCUGCCUAUGCGAGGGGGAUAACAGCUGGAAACGGCUGCUAAUACCGCAUGACACAUGAGAGCUGCAUGGUUUUCAUGUCAAAGAGUAACAUCGCGCAUAGAUGAGCUCGCGUCCCAUUAGAUAGUUGGUGAGGUAACGGCCCACCAAGUCGACGAUGGGUAGCCGGACUGAGAGGUUGAACGGCCACAUUGGAACUGAGAGACGGUCCAG